RNAcentral lists this long non-coding RNA (357 nucleotides) under Pan troglodytes (chimpanzee). Its description in RNAcentral is "long non-coding RNA NONPTRT000572". Lineage: Eukaryota; Metazoa; Chordata; Mammalia; Primates; Hominidae. The record is from RNAcentral.
GUUGUUUUUUACCCCAGCAUACUGUUGGAAGGGUUGCUCAGAAGGCAUUUGACUGAAGGGUACUUGGAAAGACCAAACCGAAACCACAGUAGUGACCAGAUACUUAGUGGCAGCCCCAGCUGCAGGAGGCAGCUGUAUGGAGGCCAAUAUGCAGACAAGGGAAGUAACUCAGGCAUUUUGGGGGAGAGGUACAGAAAGAAGAGAAAAGACUGAACUGACUGCUGUUCUGAACAAGAACUGUGACUAUAUGUGGUACUCCCAGAAUGGUGAGGUCUGGGACACUUGAAUAAUAUGGCUAUACUGUGAAUGAUGUUACCUAGACAGAAUGUUUAUCCCAGUUAAGUGAUAGGUAGGGAA